This 253-nucleotide ribosomal RNA is filed under the name uncultured bacterium. RNAcentral describes it as "partial 16S ribosomal RNA". It matches the Rfam family "Bacterial small subunit ribosomal RNA", at positions 524 to 776 of the family's 1533-position model. The record is from RNAcentral.
UACAGAGGUCUCAAGCGUUGUUCGGAUUCAUUGGGCGUAAAGGGUGUGUAGGUGGCGCGCUAAGUCGGGUGUGAAAUUUCGGAGCUUAACUCCGAAACUGCAUUCCAUACUGCGGUGCUUGAGGACUGGAGAGGAGACUGGAAUUUACGGUGUAGCAGUGAAAUGCGUAGAGAUCGUAAGGAAGACCAGUGGCGAAGGCGGGUCUCUGGACAGUUCCUGACACUGAGGCACGAAGGCCAGGGGAGCAAACGGG